AGUGAACGCUGGCGGUAGGCCUAACACAUGCAAGUCGAACGGCAGCACAGUAAGCGCUUGCUCUUACGGGUGGCGAGUGGCGGACGGGUGAGGAAUACAUCGGAAUCUACUUUUUCGUGGGGGAUAAUGUAGGGAAACUUACGCUAAUACCGCAUACGACCUACGGGUGAAAGCAGGGGAUCUUCGGACCUUGCGCGAUUGAAUGAGCCGAUGUCGGAUUAGCUAGUUGGCGGGGUAAAGGCCCACCAAGGCGACGAUCCGUAGCUGGUCUGAGAGGAUGAUCGGCCACACUGGAACUGAGACACGGUCCAGACUCCUACGGGAGGCGGCAGUGGGGAAUAUUGGGCAAUGGGCGCAAGCCUGAUCCAGCCAUACCGCGUGGGUGAAGAAGGCCUUCGGGUUGUAAAGCCCUUUUGUUGGGAAAGAAAAGCAGCAGGUUAAUACCCCGCUGUUCUGACGGUACCCAAAGAAUAAGCACCGGCUAACUUCGUG
Molecule: ribosomal RNA, 492 nt
Filed under: uncultured bacterium
Lineage: Bacteria
Description: partial 16S ribosomal RNA
Rfam family: Bacterial small subunit ribosomal RNA
Source: RNAcentral